Molecule: ribosomal RNA, 406 nt
Filed under: uncultured bacterium
Lineage: Bacteria
Description: partial 16S ribosomal RNA
Rfam family: Bacterial small subunit ribosomal RNA
Source: RNAcentral
AUUGAACGCUGGCGGCAGGCUUAACACAUGCAAGUCGAGCGAGCGGCGGACGGGUGAGUAAUGUCUGGGAAACUGCCUGACGGAGGAGGCUAACUACUGAAAACGGUAGCUACUACCGCAUACAAUCCGAUGUGCCCAGAUGGGUUUAGCUAGUAGGUGGGGUAAUGGCUCACCUAGGCGACGAUCCCUAGCUGGUCUGAGAGGCUGACCAGCCACACGGGAACUGAGACACGGUCCAGACUCCUACGGUAGGCAGCAGUGGGGAAUAUUGCACAAUGGGCUCAAGCCUGAUGCAGCCAGGCCGCGUGUGUGAAGAAGUCCUUCGGGUUGUAAAGCACUUUCAGCGAGGAGGCGUUACUCGCAGAGGAAGCACCGGCUAACUCCGUGCCAGCAGCCGCGGUAAUAC